Molecule: ribosomal RNA, 321 nt
Filed under: uncultured bacterium
Lineage: Bacteria
Description: bacterial SSU rRNA
Rfam family: Bacterial small subunit ribosomal RNA
Source: RNAcentral
ACGGGUGCGUAACGCGUAUGCAACCUACCUUUAACAGGGGGAUAACACUGAGAAAUUGGUACUAAUACCCCAUAAUAUCAUAGAAGGCAUCUUUUAUGGUUGAAAAUUCCGAUGGUUAGAGAUGGGCAUGCGUUGUAUUAGCUAGUUGGUGGGGUAACGGCUCACCAAGGCGACGAUACAUAGGGGGACUGAGAGGUUAACCCCCCACACUGGUACUGAGACACGGACCAGACUCCUACGGGAGGCAGCAGUGAGGAAUAUUGGUCAAUGGACGCAAGUCUGAACCAACCAUGCCGCGUGCAGGAUGACGGCUCUAUGAGU